RNAcentral lists this transfer RNA (114 nucleotides) under Aspergillus ibericus CBS 121593. It matches the Rfam family "tRNA". From Rfam's summary of the family: Transfer RNA (tRNA) molecules are approximately 80 nucleotides in length. Their secondary structure includes four short double-helical elements and three loops (D, anti-codon, and T loops). Lineage: Eukaryota; Fungi; Ascomycota; Eurotiomycetes; Eurotiales; Aspergillaceae. The record is from Rfam by way of RNAcentral.
GGCAAGAUGGCCGAGUGGUCUAAGGCGCUGCACUCAAGUGGCAUUCACUUGUCCAACAAAGUUGGAUGCAUUGCAGUCUCGAAAGAGGCGUGGGUUCGAGUCCCACUCUUGUCA